RNAcentral lists this long non-coding RNA (1654 nucleotides) under Homo sapiens (human). RNAcentral describes it as "HSALNT0199092". The record is from RNAcentral. Lineage: Eukaryota; Metazoa; Chordata; Mammalia; Primates; Hominidae.
GUUGUCCGCCUCUGGCGCUGGGAAUAGGCGUGGGGUCUGUUGGAAAAGGCGCGCACGUAAAACACCGUUCAAUGAAUUUUAUCUCAAAGAAGCUGAAAAUUAAACCCCCUGUAAGGUAGACGUCCUCUUCCUCAAACUUAUUGUUUCUGUCUAAUAAAAGGAUGAUUGAUAGUGCACCAUCUAACUCAUGAACUAAUUUCUCCCUGAAAGACACGGAGAACUGGGGGUAACAUCCCCGUGUAAGAGAGGAUUCAGUGAAGGCUGAAAAAGAACUAGUGACCUGCCUAGGGUCACUCACCACACUGCGCCUGGACCCUCUACUCCAAAUCACAGGCGUUUUCAGGGCACGGCUGCCCCUGCAAGGUUAAGGAAAGUUCAAAACGAAAGUCAUGUCACCUAUAAUCCCAUCCCUCUAACACCACUGUUUUUUGUUUUUUGUGUGUUUUUUCAAGACAGCUCUGUCGCCCGGGAUGGAGUGCAGUGGGGCGAUCUUGGCUCACUGCAACCUCUGCCUCCUGGGUUCAAGCGAUCCUCCCGCCUCGGCCUCCUAAAGUGCUGGGAUUACAGGUGUGAGCCACCGAGCCGGCCUAACACCACUGUGAUAGAGCCCUUCUGCUGCGCCUAACAAGAAAAAGGUGUGAGGAAUCAGGUAGAGGAUGGUAGCUCGGAAGAAACAGAGCCUGACCUCACCUGGCCAGAUAUCCAAUCUUCAUUGCCCCAAACCACUGGACCCUUGAAGAAUGUCUGAUACGGAAGCCUUACCUGACUGUGCAAGGGCAUCAAUAAAGGCAAAAAAGUGCUUCUCUAAAUCUUCCAAAUCAGAGAAUGGCCGCUGGGACCAAACAGCAGCUGCAAUCAGAGGACAUCUCUCAGUGGCAUUCCCAAACACAUCCACGAAUUCUCCAAGGUCCAUGGAGUUGACCUUCUCAAUGUCCAUUCCUUGUAUUCCACUGGAGACAGCGGGACGUCCAGCUCCCCUCUCGGUGAGUGAGUGACGCUGUCUCGGCUCACUCGGUUAUAUCUGCUGAACACAAGAGCUUGCUGUUUACGCAACACCACCUUCGCGUGUUUUAAAUGCCUUUGGGAGAAGCAGAUCCAGAAUACUUGUGUAAUGAACAAGCACAGGCUUAAGGUUCUAAUCCAGGGAGCAGAGAUCUCUGCAUGGUCAAUGUUUCCAACCAAACCAUUCCCAUAAUCAAAGGCAGCAGGGGCCAUAUUUCACUCUAAGCAUUAGAGCCAGAUUUGUUUUUCAUGUUGUUAGGCUUUUUUUUUUUUUUUUUUUUUUUUGGUGUCUAGCUCUGUCACCCAGGCUGGAGCACAGUGGUGCAAUCUCAGCUCACUACAACCUCCACCCCCUGGGUUCCAGCGAUUUGCCUAUCUCAGCCUCCUGAGUAGCUGGGAUUACAGGCAUUUGCCACCACAUCCAGCUAAGUUUAUGUUUUUGGUUUUGUUUGUUUGUUUGUUUGUUUGUUUUAGUAGAAACAGGGUUUCACCAUGUUGGCCAGGCUGGUCUCGAACUCCUGACCUCAAGUAAUCCACCUGCCUCGGCCUCGCAAAGUGCUGGAAUUACAGGUAAUUAUUAUAUUGUUAUUAUUUGAGAUAGGUUCUGCCUAGGUUGUCCAAGCUGGAGUGCAGUGGCUAUUCAUAGGCACAA